GUCCACGUAGUUCAAUGGAUAGAAUAAUGGUUUCCGGUACCAUUGAUGGCGGUUCGAAUCCGCCCGAGGACA
This 72-nucleotide transfer RNA is filed under the name Arcticibacter svalbardensis MN12-7. It matches the Rfam family "tRNA". From Rfam's summary of the family: Transfer RNA (tRNA) molecules are approximately 80 nucleotides in length. The record is from Rfam by way of RNAcentral. Lineage: Bacteria; Pseudomonadati; Bacteroidota; Sphingobacteriia; Sphingobacteriales; Sphingobacteriaceae.